Molecule: long non-coding RNA, 1239 nt
Organism: Oncorhynchus gorbuscha (pink salmon)
Lineage: Eukaryota; Metazoa; Chordata; Actinopteri; Salmoniformes; Salmonidae
Exons: 4
Source: RefSeq, a predicted model, not a curated record
AAAAUAUAACUUUGCUCUUCAGAGAGUGUCAACCUGGUAUACUUGGCAUGAAUCUCUACAUGAUACUGUUCUCUUUUAUCUCAGGGCCUAUGAUGUGUUGCCAAAAGGGAAUUAUGAGGUCUUCGUCGAAACUGUGGAAUUCCGACGACAGCCAAACUGGAAAAAUUGAAAGUCAACAUUACAACUGAAGUGAAACAGGGGGAAACGCAUGAAAAGUAGCUGCUGCCUUGGCUAAUGGGGAUCCGUAAUACAUACAAAUGCAAGACAACUAAGUAACUCAAGCUCUGAAAGCUCCUUCAUGCCAACGAACACUAUAUUCAAGUCGGGAUAUUGAGUCACUAAUGUACUAUAAAGGAUGUUUGACUACAUCCACUAGGGUGCACUGUAAGUCAAGUGAAAAGAGGAACAAGCCCGUGUGGUAUUCUACAAUCAUGAAACAAAUAACAUAUCUUGUAUGUAGCUAAGAAGCAAGUCAUUCAGAAAAUGUCUUGUUUCUUAAAAAUAAAAAAUACUUUGCUAUUUGGACAAAUCAAUAAAUACCACAAAAGGGACUUUUCAUGACACCAGUUGAAGGCACUGGCAGGAACACAUGGAAGUAUUUUCAGCCUGUGAGGAUCAGCCAGAAAGGAAAGCCACUAUCCCCUCCCUGAAUCCCAGCCUAACAGCCGGCCAUUUUGGUCCUCCACUGUGACUCAUGGGGAUGCACAUUAUCAGCUGCUGAGUAGUGUCAUUCAUUGAGGAACUGAUCUGAUACAGAUUUGAUUUCUGUAUGCGCUGCUCUAACCAUACAAAGGAGGAGCAAUACUUAGAUAUUAAACUCCAGCACACACCGUUUGUGACCUUUUUGAUAAACUAAUCAAUUAUAAUCAGUUAAAUUUGUUCAUAUGUUGCUGCAAUGUUUGGUAUGUUAUACUGUGUGUGAUUGCUAAGGAGCCUUGCCACAAAUGUGAGUCAUUUAUUUAAUUCAACAAUGUUUUUGAGAUCUGUUUUAAGAGCUAACAUAUCCCUGCUCUUGUUAUGACAUGAUUUGCUAAGCAGUAGCUACAGCUCCUUUGUUAGUACAAAUGAUAUUCAACAUGUGUUUAGUUUCCUUUGGAGGGCUAGAGCCUUGGCCUAACAGGAGAAUACAUAUGUAACUGAAUUUUAAACUUGGUUGGGGCAAUCCAACAAUGUUUUUUAUAUAUAUAUAUAUAUAUAUAUAUAUGCAGUAUCAGUCAAAAGUUUGGACACCUACUCAUU